This 402-nucleotide ribosomal RNA is filed under the name uncultured bacterium. Its description in RNAcentral is "bacterial SSU rRNA". It matches the Rfam family "Bacterial small subunit ribosomal RNA", at positions 44 to 492 of the family's 1533-position model. The record is from RNAcentral.
ACGCCUAACACAUGCAAGUCGAACGCAGUAGCAAUACUGAGUGGCAAACGGGUGAGUAUAAUGUGGGAAUCUGCCUUUUGGUUUGGAAUAACACGGGGAAACCUGUGCUAAUACCGAAUAAGCCUUUACAGGGAAAGUUUUAACGCCGAAAGAUGAGCCCGCACUUGAUUAGCUAGUUGGUAAGGUAAAAGCUUACCAAGGCGACAAUCAAUAGCUGUUCUUAGAGGAAGACCAGCCACAUUGGGACUGAGACACGGCCCAGACUCCUACGGGAGGCAGCAGUGGGGAAUCUUGCACAAUGGGGGAAACCCUGAUGCAGCGAUGCCGCGUGAGUGAAGAAGGCCUUUGGGUUGUAAAACUCUUUCGUCGGGGAAGAAAAUGACUGUACCCGAAUAAGAAGGU